RNAcentral lists this non-coding RNA (223 nucleotides) under Acetohalobium arabaticum. RNAcentral describes it as "T-box sequence". It matches the Rfam family "T-box leader". From Rfam's summary of the family: Uncharged tRNA acts as the effector for transcription antitermination of genes in the T-box leader family. T-boxes are found upstream of many aminoacyl-tRNA synthetase genes and some amino acid biosynthetic genes usually in Gram-positive bacteria. The record is from RNAcentral. Lineage: Bacteria; Bacillati; Bacillota; Clostridia; Halanaerobiales; Halobacteroidaceae.
UUAAAGGCUCUGAGCAGAAUUAAGUAAGUCAGUAGUUUCGCCAGAGAGAAGAUGCCGGAGGCUGAAAGCAGCUUCAUUAAACUGACUGAAUUGCAUCUGUGAGCUGUAUGCCCGAAGCAGUAAGUAGGGUGUAACGUUUAGUAAGCGUUAAUUACUUUAAGUGAAUCAGAUUUGAUUUCUAGUCUGAUUAAACAGAGUGGAACCGCGCCCUUACGUCUCUGUA